AUCUAGCUGACGAGUCCCAAAUAGAAUGAAACGCUCGCCUUACUGGAU
Non-coding RNA from Schistosoma haematobium, 48 nucleotides. NCBI's taxonomy places the organism in Eukaryota, Metazoa, Platyhelminthes, Trematoda, Strigeidida, Schistosomatidae. The record is from Rfam.